RNAcentral lists this long non-coding RNA (481 nucleotides) under Musa acuminata (dwarf banana). Its description in RNAcentral is "long non-coding RNA (MACU_LNC003796)". The record is from RNAcentral. Lineage: Eukaryota; Viridiplantae; Streptophyta; Magnoliopsida; Zingiberales; Musaceae.
UAUCGUCUUCUCUGAUACAUCAAUCUAUGGAGGCAUCCAUCGGCUUCGACGACUCCACCCUCGACCUCAUCCGUCAAUGCCUCCUCGGCGACCUUCCCCAGCCCGAUUCCCCCGGCCUGGCCCCCGCCUUCCCCUGCGACGGUGCCUGUCGUUUCCCCGAACCGGCGCUAGGCCGCCGGCCGUCGCUGACGAUAUCCGUGCCGCCGCGGCCGGUGGGAGCGGCGGCGGAUUGCGACGAAUUGAAGCGGUACCGCGGGGUCCGGCAGCGGCCGUGGGGGAAGUUCGCGGCGGAGAUCCGGGAUCCCGCCCGGCGGGGCGCGAGGGUCUGGCUCGGCACCUACGACACCGCCGUGGAGGCGGCGAGGGCGUACGACCGCGCCGCCUUCCAGAUGCGCGGCCGCAAGGCCAUCCUUAACUUCCCCCACGAGAUCGGGAGCUCCGAGCAGUGGGACGCGGCGAUGACGACGGCCGCGCAGGUCCU